GCUAUAGCUCACUUGGUAAAGCAUGAGACUCUUAAUUUCUGAGUCAUGGGUUUGAGCCCCACGUUGGGCA
Molecule: non-coding RNA, 70 nt
Organism: Podarcis lilfordi (Lilford's wall lizard)
Lineage: Eukaryota; Metazoa; Chordata; Lepidosauria; Squamata; Lacertidae
Source: the annotation of a GenBank genome assembly